Thioclava sp. SK-1 is the source of this 909-nucleotide ribosomal RNA. It matches the Rfam family "Bacterial large subunit ribosomal RNA", at positions 100 to 1063 of the family's 2925-position model. The record is from Rfam. Lineage: Bacteria; Pseudomonadati; Pseudomonadota; Alphaproteobacteria; Rhodobacterales; Paracoccaceae.
CUAUUGCUGAUCUUCGGAUCGGUGAUGGCUAUCAAUGAGCAUGACCAGGUACUUUUAACCUGAAUACAUAGGGUUUUAAGAGCGAACCCGGGGAACUGAAACAUCUAAGUACCCGGAGGAAAGGAAAUCAAUAGAUACUCCGCUAGUAGUGGCGAGCGAACGCGGAUCAGCCGAACCAUAAUGAUGACUAGAAUGUGUUGGAAAGCACAGCCAUAGUGGGUGACAGCCCCGUAUAGGAAGUCUGAUUGGACAUAUUAAGUAGGGCGGGACACGUGAAAUCCUGUCUGAACAUCGGAGGACCACCUUCGAAGGCUAAGUACUCCUUACUGACCGAUAGCGAACCAGUACCGUGAGGGAAAGGUGAAAAGCACCCCGACGAGGGGAGUGAAACAGUUUCUGAAACCGGACGCCUACAAGCAGUCGGAGGAGCCUUGAGCUCUGACGGCGUACCUUUUGUAUAAUGGGUCAACGACUUGGUCUUACGAGCAAGCUUAAGCCGAUAGGUGUAGGCGCAGCGAAAGCGAGUCUUAAAAGGGCGAAUGAGUUCGUGGGAUCAGACCCGAAACCGAGUGAUCUAGCCAUGUGCAGGCUGAAGGUUGGGUAACACCAACUGGAGGGCCGAACCCACACCUGUUGAAAAAGGUCGGGAUGACGUGUGGCUAGGGGUGAAAGGCCAAUCAAACUCGGAGAUAGCUGGUUCUCCGCGAAAGCUAUUUAGGUAGCGCGUCGAUUGUAUUCUCCUGGGGGUAGAGCACUGGAUGGAUGAUGGGGGCCCACAGCCUUACUGAGUCUAACCAAACUCCGAAUACCAGGAAGAACUGAUCGGCAGACACACGGCGGGUGCUAACGUCCGUCGUGGAGAGGGAAACAACCCUGACCAACAGCUAAGGCCCCCAAUUCGUGGCUAAG